UACGAAGGGGGCUAGCGUUGCUCGGAAUCACUGGGCGUAAAGCGCACGUAGGCGGAUUGUUAAGUCAGGGGUGAAAUCCUGGAGCUCAACUCCAGAACUGCCUUUGAUACUGACGGUCUUGAGUCCGGGAGAGGUGAGUGGAACUCCGAGUGUAGAGGUGAAAUUCGUAGAUAUCUGGAGGAACACCGGUGGCGAAGGCGGCAUCCUGGACCAACACUGACGCUGAGUGAGCGAAAGCCAGGGGAGCAAACGGG
RNAcentral lists this ribosomal RNA (254 nucleotides) under uncultured bacterium. Its description in RNAcentral is "partial 16S ribosomal RNA". It matches the Rfam family "Bacterial small subunit ribosomal RNA", at positions 524 to 776 of the family's 1533-position model. The record is from RNAcentral.